This 22-nucleotide microRNA is filed under the name Macaca fascicularis (crab-eating macaque). RNAcentral's name for it is "novel_miR69-5p". The record is from RNAcentral. Lineage: Eukaryota; Metazoa; Chordata; Mammalia; Primates; Cercopithecidae.
CCAGAAUUCACUAUAUGUAGGA